Molecule: ribosomal RNA, 253 nt
Filed under: uncultured bacterium
Lineage: Bacteria
Description: partial 16S ribosomal RNA
Rfam family: Bacterial small subunit ribosomal RNA
Source: RNAcentral
UACAGAGGUCUCAAGCGUUGUUCGGAUUCAUUGGGCGUAAAGGGUGUGUAGGUGGCGCCGUAAGUGGGGUGUGAAAUUUCGAGGCUUAACCUCGAAACUGCAUUCCAUACUGCGGUGCUUGAGGACUGGAGAGGAGACUGGAAUUUACGGUGUAGCAGUGAAAUGCGUAGAUAUCGUAAGGAAGACCAGUGGCGAAGGCGGGUCUCUGGACAGUUCCUGACGCUGAGACACGAAGGCCAGGGGAGCAAACGGG